RNAcentral lists this ribosomal RNA (859 nucleotides) under uncultured marine bacterium. RNAcentral describes it as "bacterial SSU rRNA". It matches the Rfam family "Bacterial small subunit ribosomal RNA", at positions 9 to 916 of the family's 1533-position model. The record is from RNAcentral.
GGAGUUUGAUCCUGGCUCAGAACGAACGCUGGCGGCAGGCCUAACACAUGCAAGUCGAGCGCGCUUUCGGGUGAGCGGCGGACGGGUUAGUAACGCGUGGGAACGUGCCCUUCUCUACGGAAUAGCCUCUGGAAACGGAGAGUAAUACCGUAUACGCCCUUUGGGGGAAAGAUUUAUCGGAGAAGGAUCGGCCCGCGUUAGAUUAGGUAGUUGGUGGGGUAACGGCCUACCAAGCCUACGAUCUAUAGCUGGUUUUAGAGGAUGAUCAGCAACACUGGGACUGAGACACGGCCCAGACCCCUACGGGAGGCAGCAGUGGGGAAUCUUAGACAAUGGGGGCAACCCUGAUCUAGCCAUGCCGCGUGAGUGAUGAAGGCCUUAGGGUCGUAAAGCUCUUUCGCCUGUGAUGAUAAUGACAGUAGCAGGUAAAGAAACCCCGGCUAACUCCGUGCCAGCAGCCGCGGUAAUACGGAGGGGGUUAGCGUUGUUCGGAAUUACUGGGCGUAAAGCGCGCGUAGGCGGAUUAGAAAGUUGGGGGUGAAAUCCCGGGGCUCAACCUCGGAACUGCCUCCAAAACUGCUAGUCUAGAGUUCGAGAGAGGUGAGUGGAAUUCCGAGUGUAGAGGUGAAAUUCGUAGAUAUUCGGAGGAACACCAGUGGCGAAGGCGGCUCACUGGCUCGAUACUGACGCUGAGGUGCGAAAGUGUGGGGAGCAAACAGGAUUAGAUACCCUGGUAGUCCACACCGUAAACGAUGAAUGCCAGUCGUCGGGUAGUAUACUAUUCGGUGACACACCUAACGGAUUAAGCAUUCCGCCUGGGGAGUACGGUCGCAAGAUUAAAACUCAAAGGAAUUGACGG